GACAGAGGUGCCAAGCGUUAGGCGGAAUCACUGGGCUUAAAGCGUGUGUAGGCGGAAUUCUAAGUACCUUGUGAAAUCCCACGGCUCAACCGUGGAACUGCUCGGUAUACUGGUUUUCUUGAGCCACUUAGGGGCUGUCGGAACAAGCGGUGGAGCGGUGAAAUGCGUAGAUAUCUGGAGGAACACCGGUGGCGAAGGCGGCAUCCUGGACCGGCAUUGACGCUGAGGCGCGAAAGCCAGGGGAGCAAACGGG
RNAcentral lists this ribosomal RNA (253 nucleotides) under uncultured bacterium. RNAcentral's name for it is "partial 16S ribosomal RNA". It matches the Rfam family "Bacterial small subunit ribosomal RNA", at positions 524 to 776 of the family's 1533-position model. The record is from RNAcentral.